RNAcentral lists this non-coding RNA (76 nucleotides) under unclassified sequences. RNAcentral's name for it is "chrB RNA". It matches the Rfam family "chrB-a RNA". The record is from RNAcentral.
CGCAUGGGGAAGCGAUCUCCUCAUGAGGCGACAUGCCAAAGAAUCGCGUCCGAUUGUUCCACAAGGACGCGCCAUG